CUUGCUCCACCGGAAAAAGAGGAGUGGCGAACGGGUGAGUAACACGUGGGUAACCUGCCCAUCAGAAGGGGAUAACACUUGGAAACAGGUGCUAAUACCGUAUAACAAUCAAAACCGCAUGGUUUUGAUUUGAAUGGCGCUUUCGGGUGUCGCUGAUGGAUGGACCCGCGGUGCAUUAGCUAGUUGGUGAGGUAACGGCUCACCAAGGCCACGAUGCAUAGCCGACCUGAGAGGGUGAUCGGCCACAUUGGGACUGAGACACGGCCCAAACUCCUACGGGAGGCAGCAGUAGGGAAUCUUCGGCAAUGGACGAAAGUCUGACCGAGCAACGCCGCGUGAGUGAAGAAGGUUUUCGGAUCGUAAAACUCUGUUGUUAGAGAAGAACAAGGAUGAGAGUAACUGUUCAUCCCUUGACGGUAUCUAACCAGAAAGCCACGGCUAACUACGUGCCAGCAGCCGCGGUAAUACGUAGGUGGCAAGCGUUGUCCGGAUUUAUUGGGCGUAAAGCGAGCGCAGGCGGUUUCUUAAGUCUGAUGUGAAAGCCCCCGGCUCAACCGGGGAGGGUCAUUGGAAACUGGGAGACUUGAGUGCAGAAGAGGAGAGUGGAAUUCCAUGUGUAGCGGUGAAAUGCGUAGAUAUAUGGAGGAACACC
RNAcentral lists this ribosomal RNA (652 nucleotides) under uncultured Bacilli bacterium. RNAcentral's name for it is "bacterial SSU rRNA". It matches the Rfam family "Bacterial small subunit ribosomal RNA", at positions 71 to 710 of the family's 1533-position model. The record is from RNAcentral. Lineage: Bacteria; Bacillati; Bacillota; Bacilli.